UACGUAGGGGGCAAGCGUUGUCCGGAUUUAUUGGGCGUAAAGAGCGUGUAGGCGGCCAGAUAGGUCAGCUGUGAAAACUCGAGGCUCAACCUCGAGAUGUCAUCGGAAACCAUCUGGCUAGAGUCCGGAAGAGGAGAGUGGAAUUCCUGGUGUAGCGGUGAAAUGCGCAGAUAUCAGGAAGAACACCAAUGGCGAAAGCAGCUCUCUGGGACGGUACUGACGCUGAGACGCGAAAGCGUGGGGAGCGAACAGG
Molecule: ribosomal RNA, 253 nt
Filed under: uncultured bacterium
Lineage: Bacteria
Description: partial 16S ribosomal RNA
Rfam family: Bacterial small subunit ribosomal RNA
Source: RNAcentral